RNAcentral lists this ribosomal RNA (510 nucleotides) under uncultured bacterium. RNAcentral describes it as "partial 16S ribosomal RNA". It matches the Rfam family "Bacterial small subunit ribosomal RNA", at positions 28 to 523 of the family's 1533-position model. The record is from RNAcentral.
GACGAACGCUGGCGGCGUGCCUAAUACAUGCAAGUCGAGCGAAUGACGAGAAGCUUGCUUCUCUGAUUUAGCGGCGGACGGGUGAGUAACACGUGGGCAACCUGCCCUACAGAUUGGGAUAACUCAGGGAAACCUGGGCUAAUACCGAAUAAUCCUUCGAAUCACAUGUUUUGAAGUUGAAAGGCGCUUCGGCGUCACUGUAGGAUGGGCCCGCGGUGCAUUAGCUAGUUGGUGGGGUAACGGCCUACCAAGGCAACGAUGCAUAGCCGACCUGAGAGGGUGAUCGGCCACAUUGGGACUGAGACACGGCCCAAACUCCUACGGGAGGCAGCAGUAGGGAAUCUUCCACAAUGGACGAAAGUCUGAUGGAGCAACGCCGCGUGAGUGAUGAAGGUUUUCGGAUCGUAAGACUCUGUUGUAAGGGAAGAACAAGUACGUUAGGAAAUGAACGUACCUUGACGGUACCUUAUUAGAAAGCCACGGCUAACUACGUGCCAGCCGCCGCAGUAA